RNAcentral lists this ribosomal RNA (433 nucleotides) under uncultured bacterium. RNAcentral describes it as "partial 16S ribosomal RNA". It matches the Rfam family "Bacterial small subunit ribosomal RNA", at positions 29 to 507 of the family's 1533-position model. The record is from RNAcentral.
AACGAACGCUGGCGGCAGGCCUAACACAUGCAAGUCGAGCGCACCCUUCGGGGUGAGCGGCGGACGGGUGAGUAACGCGUGGGAACGUGCCCUUCUCUGCGGAAUAGCCUCGGGAAACUGAGAGUAAUACCGCAUACGCCCUUUGGGGGAAAGAUUUAUCGGAGAAGGAUCGGCCCGCGUUGGAUUAGGUAGUUGGAGGGGUAAUGGCCCACCAAGCCGACGAUCCAUAGCUGGUUUGAGAGGAUGAUCAGCCACACUGGGACUGAGACACGGCCCAGACUCCUACGGGAGGCAGCAGUGGGGAAUCUUAGACAAUGGGGGCAACCCUGAUCUAGCCAUGCCGCGUGAGUGAUGAAGGCCUUAGGGUUGUAAAGCUCUUUCAGCUGGGAAGAUAAUGACGGUACCAGCAGAAGAAGCCCCGGCUAACUCCGUG